RNAcentral lists this long non-coding RNA (555 nucleotides) under Homo sapiens (human). Its description in RNAcentral is "HSALNT0291758". The record is from RNAcentral. Lineage: Eukaryota; Metazoa; Chordata; Mammalia; Primates; Hominidae.
AGUGCUUAUCAUCCAGUGGGAACUGGGGUGCCAGGGUGCCAGGCAACAGAGCAGUUGAUGGAGACAGUUCCAGUGCCAUUAUGAGCUGUUAAAAGGGGAUCUGACGUGUGCAUUCCAGACCCUGAUACUACUUCUUGUCCAGUCAUUCAACAACAUAGUAUUCCCUAUAGGCCCAGCAUGUCUGUCUAUGUAUCUGAUUUCACAAUCCCAUGACAUAGGAAGAAAAACAGAAGUACCCACCUGGUGACAGGCUAGCAGGCACAAGGAUAGACAGAAUGUGCACCUGAAGGAGUUCACCUAGGAGAGCUGAGGAGGCACAAAGACCUGCAUUCUACCACCUCCUUUUCCAAGCCAAGCCUAGGUGACAGGCCCCUGAGCUGCAAGUGUUUCCAGCACUGCCAUUACAAAUUAGUGGAAAUGAUCAGACCCCCAGGCAGACUGGUUCUCAGCCUGCUUCAGAGGGGCAGAUGUUCUGCAAAACCAGCCAGUGACCCACAGAGAAGACUGGCAAGCCCGCAAGGCUCUCAUUGGACCCCUCUGUGGCUUCUGCCUCCC